GUCGUUUGGAUGAUGAUUUUUUGCAUGAGAAAUUCCCUCCUUGUUACCUUGAAAGGAAAUUCCAGCUGCCGUCAAGUCGAGCCCCUCCCACAGAUUGUCUAAAAUGAUGAGGGUUUUCUUCCUUCGGUCGUUUACUAGCCUCUUACGCAAACGAUCUGCUCUUCCAAGUGCAGUUUCCUCAUUAAUCAUCACGCCUAACGUGUGGACAGUUUCUGCUCAAUGCCAUGUUAGGCUUUUGCAGCUUAACGAGGGAUCCGUACUUGGAAGAGCAGAUCUUUUGCAUAAGAGGCUAUUAAGUUACCUGAAGAAGAAAAUGUUCCCAUUUUAUACGAUCUGUGGAAGAGACUCGACUUGAAGACGGUUGUAAUUCCCUUUGAAGGUGACGAGGAGGGGAUAUCUUAUGUAAAUAUUCCUGAUCCAGACGAC
Molecule: microRNA precursor, 426 nt
Filed under: Eugenia uniflora (Surinam cherry)
Lineage: Eukaryota; Viridiplantae; Streptophyta; Magnoliopsida; Myrtales; Myrtaceae
Description: miR10218 stem-loop (eun-MIR10218)
Source: miRBase by way of RNAcentral